This 264-nucleotide ribosomal RNA is filed under the name uncultured bacterium. RNAcentral describes it as "partial 16S ribosomal RNA". It matches the Rfam family "Bacterial small subunit ribosomal RNA", at positions 793 to 1055 of the family's 1533-position model. The record is from RNAcentral.
GUCCACGCCGUAAACGAUGAAUACUAGGUGUCGGGGAGCAUGGCUCUUCGGUGCCGUCGCAAACGCAGUAAGUAUUCCACCUGGGGAGUACGUUCGCAAGAAUGAAACUCAAAGGAAUUGACGGGGACCCCGCACAAGCGGUGGAGCAUGUGGUUUAAUUCGAAGCAACGCGAAGAACCUUACCAAGUCUUGACAUCCGCCUGACCGAUCCUUAACCGGAUCUUUCCUUCGGGACAGGCGAGACAGGUGGUGCAUGGUUGUCGU